UCACGAAGAACUCCGAUUGCGAANGCAGCUUGCUGGACUGUAACUGACGCUGAGGCACGAAAGCGUGGGGAUCAAACAGGAUUAGAUACCCUGGUAGNCCACGCCGUAAACGAUGAAUGCUAGCUGUNAGCGAUAUACUGUUAGCGGCACAGAGAAAUCGUUAAGCAUUCCACCUGGGGAGUACGCCGGCAACGGUGAAACUCAAAGGAAUUGACGGGGGCCCGCACAAGCGGAGGAACAUGUGGUUUAAUUCGAUGAUACGCGAGGAACCUUACCUGGGCUUAAAUUGCAGUGGAAUAACGUGGAAACAUGUUAGCCUUCGGGCCGCUGUGAAGGUGCUGCAUGGUUGUCGUCAGCUCGUGCCGUGAGGUGUCGGCUUAAGUGCCAUAACGAGCGCAACCCUCAUCGAUAGUUACUAACAGGUUAAGCUGAGGACUCUAUCGAGACUGCCGACGUAAGUCGUGAGGAAGGUGGGGAUGACGUCAAAUCAGCACGGCCCUUACGUCCAGGGCUACACACGUGUUACAAUGGGGGGUACAAAGGGCAGCUACCUGGCGACAGGAUGCUAAUCUCAAAAACCUCUCUCAGUUCGGAUUGGAGUCUGCAACCCGACUCCAUGAAGCUGGAUUCGCUAGUAAUCGCGCAUCAGCCACGGCGCGGUGAAUACGUUCCCGGGCCUUGUACACACCGCCCGUCAAGCCAUGGGAGCCGGGGGGACCUGAAGUAUGCAACCGUAAGGAGCGUCCUAGGGUAAAACUGGUGACUGGGGCU
This 771-nucleotide ribosomal RNA is filed under the name uncultured prokaryote. RNAcentral's name for it is "bacterial SSU rRNA". It matches the Rfam family "Bacterial small subunit ribosomal RNA", at positions 697 to 1482 of the family's 1533-position model. The record is from RNAcentral.